Molecule: ribosomal RNA, 478 nt
Filed under: uncultured Comamonadaceae bacterium
Lineage: Bacteria; Pseudomonadati; Pseudomonadota; Betaproteobacteria; Burkholderiales; Comamonadaceae
Description: bacterial SSU rRNA
Rfam family: Bacterial small subunit ribosomal RNA
Source: RNAcentral
GGCGAACGGGUUGAGUAAUGCAUCGGAACGUGCCCAGUCGUGGGGGAUAACGCAGCGAAAGCUGUGCUAAUACCGCAUACGAUCUAUGGAUGAAAGCGGGGGACCUUCGGGCCUCGCGCGAUUGGAGCGGCUGAUGUUAGAUUAGGUAGUUGGUGGGGUAAAGGCUCACCAAGCCGACGAUCUAUAGCUGGUCUGAGAGGACGACCAGCCACACUGGAACUGAGACACGGUCCAGACUCCUACGGGAGGCAGCAGUGGGGAAUUUUGGACAAUGGGCGAAAGCCUGAUCCAGCAAUACCGCGUGCAGGAAGAAGGCCUUCGGGUUGUAAACUGCUUUUGUACGGAACGAAACGGCGCGCUCUAAUAAAGUGCGUUAAUGACGGUACCGUAAGAAUAAGCACCGGCUAACUACGUGCCAGCAGCCGCGGUAAUACGUAGGGUGCAAGCGUUAAUCGGAAUUACUGGGCGUAAAGCGUGC